Molecule: long non-coding RNA, 1268 nt
Organism: Cavia porcellus (domestic guinea pig)
Lineage: Eukaryota; Metazoa; Chordata; Mammalia; Rodentia; Caviidae
Exons: 3
Source: RefSeq, a predicted model, not a curated record
AAUUAUAUCUUCCAGGCAUGAUGGUGCAAACCUGUAAUUCCAGCAUUUAUGAGGCUGACACAAAAAGACUGCUGUGGGUUCAAGGUCAGCCUGGGUUACAUGAUUUCUUGUCUCAAGAAAAAAUAAUCUAAUUGGAAACAAGAAACUUACUCCAAGAAUUUCUAAGGGUCUUAGAAGUAUAAUAAGACUGUAAAUUAGGCCUGUGUUUUUUACCUGGAAAGUGAGCCUGUGUUUCCCCGCAUACUACAGAUUCACAAAUGCUAAAGACUGCCAUCUUCAAGGAAUCAGCUACAGAGGAAAUAUACACGGGAGAUCUUGGAGAUGCACAUUAUUUUAGGACAUCAUGCAUCACUCAGUGUAUAGCCCCAAAAUGUCACCAUAGCGUAUAUUUUACAAAACUGGAACUGUCUCAAAACAGAAAUUUUUUUCUUUAAUCAAUGUUGAUUUUUCUAAUUCAGGGCCUGUCCUCAGUGUACAUUAAAGAGUGUAAAGACAUGGUCUCAAAUUUGACUUGUUUGAAACAAUGAGAGAAAAUGAACAAAGAUUCUAUCUGGCAAUCUGUAGCUCUUCUCUUUCCCCUUCUAACUCUUUUAUCAGUUUAAUUCUGUAACGUUAGACUAACUAUAGAGUGCUAUAAAAAUUGUUAUGAUUUAUGAAUUGGUACAGCCAAGGAAGCAUUCUGACUACUUUACUUGUAAUUUAAACUACAAAAAAAUGAACUAUUACAUUCCAAAUGACCAAUGCAUCUAGAAGUGCACUUUGACUUAAUGCAAUUGUUUUAUGUGUCACAUAAGUUCGUUUCUGGGUUUUUUGAUUUUUUUUUUUUUUUUGGUCUUUCUUCUAAGUGUUUUUUGUAAUAACUGGCUAAAGUGUCUACACUGCUCCAUUUACUACAUUGUUUUAAAACUCAACUGAUUUUGGUUUUUUCCUUUUAAAAAUAUUUAUAGACAGCUGGCUUAAUGCUUCGAUUUCUUACUAAACAAAACAAAAACAAUUAUACAGAUAUUCAAGAGCUAACAAAUCUGCUUGGGAUUAAGAAAACAAGAAAAUUCAACAGAGGUCUCUUUAAAACCUAGUCACUGUUACAGGAUUAUUGGAUUCCACUUGCAAAUAAAAUCUAUAAAAUUUGGUAAUAUCAGGGUUAUAUACAUAUGAUAUUGGUUAAUGUACAGAUUGUUCUGUUUACUAACCUUUAAAAAAUUAUUUAAAAAAUGAGAAAAGGAAAGAAUGGAAACAAAGCUUUUGUAAAUAGAGAGGGAAAGAGGCAU